RNAcentral lists this ribosomal RNA (484 nucleotides) under uncultured bacterium. Its description in RNAcentral is "bacterial SSU rRNA". It matches the Rfam family "Bacterial small subunit ribosomal RNA", at positions 33 to 507 of the family's 1533-position model. The record is from RNAcentral.
GACACGCUGGCGGCGUGCCUGACACAUGCAAGUCGGACGGUUCUUGUAUCUUCAAGCUUGCUUGCAGGUGCAAGGAUAGUGGCGGACGGGUGAGUAACGCGUGAACAUCUACCCAUUGGAGGGGGACAACCCGUCGAAAGGCGGGCUAAUACCGCGUAAGCCGCGAGGUGAGAGGCUGCCUAUUGGUGGCCGCCGAUGGAUGGGUUCGCGUCCUAUCAGCUGGUUGGUGGGGUAACGGCCUACCAAGGCGAAGACGGGUAGCCGGUCUGAGAGGAUGGCCGGCCACACUGGAACUGAGACACGGUCCAGACUCCUACGGGAGGCAGCAGUGGGGAAUAUUGGUCAAUGGGCGGAAGCCUGAACCAGCCAUCCCGCGUGCAGGAAGACGGCCCUAUGGGUUGUAAACUGCUUUUCCAGGGGGAGAAACUUUCCGAUGCAUCGGGAUUUGACGGUACCCUGGGAAUAAGCAUCGGCUAACUCCGUG